UACAGAGGUCUCAAGCGUUGUUCGGAUUCAUUGGGCGUAAAGGGUGCGUAGGUGGCGCCGUAAGUCGGGUGUGAAAUUUCGGAGCUUAACUCCGAAACUGCAUUCGAUACUGCGGUGCUUGAGGACUGGAGAGGAGACUGGAAUUCAUGGUGUAGUAGUGAAAUGCGUAGAGAUCAUGAGGAAGACCAGUGGCGAAGGCGGGUCUCUGGACAGUUCCUGACACUGAGGCACGAAGGCCAGGGGAGCAAACGGG
RNAcentral lists this ribosomal RNA (253 nucleotides) under uncultured bacterium. RNAcentral describes it as "partial 16S ribosomal RNA". It matches the Rfam family "Bacterial small subunit ribosomal RNA", at positions 524 to 776 of the family's 1533-position model. The record is from RNAcentral.